This 599-nucleotide ribosomal RNA is filed under the name Kluyveromyces marxianus. RNAcentral describes it as "eukaryotic LSU rRNA". It matches the Rfam family "Eukaryotic large subunit ribosomal RNA", at positions 49 to 664 of the family's 3401-position model. The record is from RNAcentral. Lineage: Eukaryota; Fungi; Ascomycota; Saccharomycetes; Saccharomycetales; Saccharomycetaceae.
AGCGGAGGAAAGAACCAACCGGGAUUGCCUUAGUAACGGCGAGUGAAGCGGCAAAAGCUCAAAUUUGAAAUCUGGCGUCUUCGACGUCCGAGUUGUAAUUUGAAGAAGGCGACUUUGUAGCUGGUCCUUGUCUAUGUUCCUUGGAACAGGACGUCAUAGAGGGUGAGAAUCCCGUGUGGCGAGGAUCCCAGUUAUUUGUAAAGUGCUUUCGACGAGUCGAGUUGUUUGGGAAUGCAGCUCUAAGUGGGUGGUAAAUUCCAUCUAAAGCUAAAUAUUGGCGAGAGACCGAUAGCGAACAAGUACAGUGAUGGAAAGAUGAAAAGAACUUUGAAAAGAGAGUGAAAAAGUACGUGAAAUUGUUGAAAGGGAAGGGCAUUUGAUCAGACAUGGCGUUUGCUUCGGCUUUCGCUGGGCCAGCAUCAGUUUUAGCGGUUGGAUAAAUCCUCGGGAAUGUGGCUCUGCUUCGGUAGAGUGUUAUAGCCCGUGGGAAUACAGCCAGCUGGGACUGAGGAUUGCGACUUUUGUCAAGGAUGCUGGCGUAAUGGUUAAAUGCCGCCCGUCUUGAAACACGGACCUCCUGUGUGAAGGGAAUCCCGCUA